Diceros bicornis minor is the source of this 106-nucleotide small nuclear RNA. Lineage: Eukaryota; Metazoa; Chordata; Mammalia; Perissodactyla; Rhinocerotidae. The record is from RefSeq and is a predicted model, not a curated record.
GUUCUCACUUUGUCAGCACAUAUGCUAAAAUUAGAAUGAUACAGUGAAGAUUAGCAUGACCUCUGCACAAGGAUGGCAUGCAAAUUCACAAGCACUCCAUAUUUUG